AGAGUUUGAUCCUGGCUCAGGAUGAACGCUGGCGGCGUGCUUAACACAUGCAAAGUCGAACGGAGUUUUUAAACGGAAGUUUUCGGAUGGAAGUUUAGAAACUUAGUGGCGGACGGGUGAGUAACGCGUGGGUAACCUGCCUCAUACAGGGGGAUAACAGUUAGAAAUGACUGCUAACACCGCAUAAUAUAGCGAAACCGCAUGAUUUUUGCUAUCAAAUAUUUAUAGGUAUGAGAUGGGCCCGCGUCUGAUUAGCUAGUUGGUGGGGUAAAAGCCUACCAAGGCGACGAUCAGCAGCCGGCUUGAGAGAGUGACCGGCCACAUUGGGACUGAGACACGGCCCAAACUCCUACGGGAGGCAGCAGUGGGGAAUAUUGGACAAUGGGGGAAACCCUGAUCCAGCCGACGCCGCGUGAGUGAAGAAGUAUUUCGGUAUGUAAAGCUCUAUCAGCAGGGAAGAUAAUGACAGUACCUGACUAAGAACGCCCCGGCUAACUACGUGCCAGCCGCGGC
RNAcentral lists this ribosomal RNA (513 nucleotides) under uncultured bacterium. RNAcentral describes it as "bacterial SSU rRNA". It matches the Rfam family "Bacterial small subunit ribosomal RNA", at positions 8 to 518 of the family's 1533-position model. The record is from RNAcentral.